RNAcentral lists this ribosomal RNA (301 nucleotides) under uncultured bacterium. RNAcentral's name for it is "partial 16S ribosomal RNA". It matches the Rfam family "Bacterial small subunit ribosomal RNA", at positions 509 to 807 of the family's 1533-position model. The record is from RNAcentral.
CAGCAGCCGCGGUAAUACGGAGGGUGCAAGCGUUAUCCGGAUUUAUUGGGUUUAAAGGGUCCGUAGGCGGACUUAUAAGUCAGUGGUGAAAGCCUGUCGCUUAACGAUAGAACUGCCAUUGAUACUGUAAGUCUUGAGUAUAUUUGAGGUAGCUGGAAUAAGUAGUGUAGCGGUGAAAUGCAUAGAUAUUACUUAGAACACCAAUUGCGAAGGCAGGUUACCAAGAUAUAACUGACGCUGAGGGACGAAAGCGUGGGUAGUGAACAGGAUUAGAUACCCCCGUAGUCCCUGUCUCUUAUAC